UUAUGCUGAUAAGAGCGUAUGGUGGAUGCCUUGGCACUAAGAGCCGAUGAAAGACGUGAUAAGCUGCGAAAAGCUUCGGGGAGGGGCAAAUACCCAUCGAUCCGGAGAUUUCUGAAUGGGGAAACCUAACUGAGCAAACCUCAGUUAUCCUGACGCCAAUCCAUAACGUCAGGAAGGGAACCCGGUGAACUGAAACAUCUAAGUAGCCGGAGGAAGAGAAAACAACAUGUGAUUCUGUGAGUAGCGGCGAGCGAAAACGGAAGAGCCCAAACCGGGAUGCGUGCAUCCCGGGGUUCGGACCGCGGAAUUGAUUCAACAAGUUUAGCAGAACAGUUUUGGGAAAGCUGACCAAAGAGGGUGAAAGUCCCGUAAGCGAAAGGCGAGUUGACAUGGCGGUAUCCAGAGUAGGUCGAGACACGUGGAACCUUGACUGAAUAUGCGGGGACCACCCCGUAAGGCUAAAUACUCCUUAGUGACCGAUAGCGCAUAGUACUGUGAAGGAAAGGUGAAAAGGACCCCGGGAGGGGAGUGAAAAAGAACCUGAAACCAUAUGUUUACAAGCUGUGGAACAUCUUUAUAUGAUGAACCGCGUACUUUUUGUAGAACGGUCCGGCGAGUUACGCUGGCUGGCGAGGUUAAGCACUGAAGGUGCGGAGCCGAAGGGAAACCAAGUCUGAACAGGGCGAAAGUCAGUCGGAGUAGACCCGAAACCGGGUGAUCUAUCCAUGUCCAGGUUGAAGUUGCCGUAAAAGGCAAUGGAGGACCGAACCCACAUCCGUUGAAAAGGGUGGGGAUGAGGUGUGGAUAGGGGAGAAAUUCCAAUCGAACCCGGAGAUAGCUGGUUCUCCUCGAAAUAGCUUUAGGGCUAGCCUCAUACAAGUCUUGCGGAGGUAGAGCACUGAAUUCCUACGGGGGCGUCAAAGCUUACCAAGGGAUAUCAAACUCCGAAUGCCGUGUAGAUGAUGUAUGGGAGUCAGACUAUCCGAGAUAAGUUGGGUAGUCGAAAGGGAAAGAGCCCAGACCUGCAGCUAAGGCCCCAAAAUGUGUGUUAAGUGGAAAAGGAUGUGGGAUUUCGAAGACAACUAGGAUGUUGGCUUAGAAGCAGCCAUCCAUUAAAAGAGUGCGUAAUAGCUCACUAGUCGAGAGGUCCUGCGCCGAAAAUGUCCGGGGCUGAAACACACUGCCGAAGCUCAGGGAUGAACAGUGAUCAAUACAGAUCAAUGCAAGAGGAAAGCUUCUUGAUGAAAUCAAGAAGAUUCCAAAACAGAUGAAACAGACUGCUGUUGGUCUGCGUUGAUCACUG
Molecule: ribosomal RNA, 1303 nt
Filed under: Lachnospiraceae bacterium 3_1_46FAA
Lineage: Bacteria; Bacillati; Bacillota; Clostridia; Lachnospirales; Lachnospiraceae
Description: bacterial LSU rRNA
Rfam family: Bacterial large subunit ribosomal RNA
Source: RNAcentral